RNAcentral lists this ribosomal RNA (153 nucleotides) under uncultured Paenibacillus sp. Its description in RNAcentral is "partial 16S ribosomal RNA". It matches the Rfam family "Bacterial small subunit ribosomal RNA", at positions 338 to 483 of the family's 1533-position model. The record is from RNAcentral. Lineage: Bacteria; Bacillati; Bacillota; Bacilli; Caryophanales; Paenibacillaceae.
CCUACGGGAGGCAGCAGUAGGGAAUCUUCCGCAAUGGGCGAAAGCCUGACGGAGCAACGCCGCGUGAGUGAUGAAGGUUUUCGGAUCGUAAAGCUCUGUUGCCAGGGAAGAACGUCCGGUAGAGUAACUGCUACCGGAGUGACGGUACCUGAG